Molecule: ribosomal RNA, 598 nt
Filed under: Matileola sp. DK-2014
Lineage: Eukaryota; Metazoa; Arthropoda; Insecta; Diptera; Keroplatidae
Description: eukaryotic LSU rRNA
Rfam family: Eukaryotic large subunit ribosomal RNA
Source: RNAcentral
GGUUAAGCCCGAUGAACCUGAAUUACUGAAAUGGGAAAUUCAGUAUGGUUUUUUGUUUAUAUUUAAACAAUAAAUUGUAUGCACUUUUCCCAUAGUAAGUCAUUGCAAUCCAUUAGUAUAUUAAUUUAUUAAUUGUUUAUUAAAAGGCCCGUGUGUUUAGUUUUUCCUAUCUGUGGUAAUUUUUUUAAUUAUCAUAUGGAUAACAUCACAAUGGUGUCCUAAUAAGCAGCUGAUGGAGUUUAACAAUUAUCCAAUUAUAUGCACAUAUAUUACACAGUUAAAAUGCUUUUUAGCACAUAUUUUCGUACGUGUUUGGAUGUAUUUGAUUUGCAAUGCGAUAGAUUUGGGAUACCUUCGGGACCCGUCUUGAAACACGGACCAAGAAGUUUAGCAUAGGCGCAAGUCAUUGGGUAGUUUGAAGAAACCUAAAGGCGUAAUUAAAAUAACUAGUUAUUUAUUCUUCGGAAUGAAUAAUAGAAUGGGAUUACGAGAAAUUCUUUUAAUUAAGAUUUUUCCUCCAUCCCGGGGCGUUCUAUACGAACAUGAUUUAAGCAAUUGAGUCCUCUGUUCACGAGCGUACCUUGAGCGUCUAUGUUGA